Molecule: long non-coding RNA, 721 nt
Organism: Athalia rosae (coleseed sawfly)
Lineage: Eukaryota; Metazoa; Arthropoda; Insecta; Hymenoptera; Athaliidae
Exons: 2
Source: RefSeq, a predicted model, not a curated record
UCGGUGUCUUGCAGACCUGGACUCGAAGAUCGCUCUUCCGGUUUCGUUUACUAACUUCCAAGCAACAAGCUUCAGGAUCGCAGCGUGCGUUGGAGAACUAAAAUCGAGAACCAGACGAAGCAUCGCUGAAUCUAGAUCAGCUCGUUGAGGUCUCUGAAUUUCAAGGAAUCAACGUACACGUUAUUACCAGAACUAUGGGCUCGUGGAACGACAUUGACACCUCGACUGCAGUAGGUGUAACUGGAGCAGCAGCAGCUACUGCGAUACUUGUUCCAGUGCUCUCUUCGAUCGCAGGCUUGGUUCUCUUCUGCCUCUGCAUUUGGGCCUGCUGUAGAUGCUGUUGCAGAAGUUCGACAACAAUUGUUACAAGCAAUACUUUUGUCGCCCCCACUGCUCCAAGUGGGAAUGGGUAUUCUAAUAUUGCAGUGGUCUAAAAACUGUAAUAUUGGAAAAACAUGGACUUCAGCUUUGAUCAUUGUCACAACAUUUUGUAUCUGCGACGAACAUUAUCAUUUCCAAAAUUAAUAUAAUCUAAUAUACGUGUAUCCCAUCUAAUGUGUAGGAAGUCCCUGUUACCAAAUAUCCUAUGUAGUUUUCAGUUUAUUCGUGAUUAAAAAUAAAUGUGUAUCGUGACUGUUGUUAAACUUGUAAUAUUAUAACGAGUCCGGAAAGAAAUAUUGCUGGCAAUAAAUCAUGAAAAAUCAGGAAAAAAAAAAAAAAA